Molecule: unclassified non-coding RNA, 303 nt
Filed under: Zea mays
Lineage: Eukaryota; Viridiplantae; Streptophyta; Magnoliopsida; Poales; Poaceae
Description: misc RNA Zm00001eb034580
Source: RNAcentral
GAGGCCGAGGCCGAGGCUGAGGUUGUACCGCUUCCACGCGUGCCUGACGACCUCGGCGCUGUCGAUGUUGGGCGGCACGACGACGGCGGUGACGGUGUCGCUGAACCACUCCUCCUUCUGGCAGCAGUUGCUGAGCCCCCACGCCUCGACGGCGAGCCUGGUGGCUGUCCCAAGGCGGUUGUGCCUCCUCACGACGUUGUCCAGCCCUUCCUCGAAGAUGAGGUCGAGCGCGGUGCGGAGGCCGUAGAGGAGCUGGAUGGAGGGCGUGUAGGGCCAGUACGUGCCCAUGUCGUAGAACCUGAG